RNAcentral lists this ribosomal RNA (891 nucleotides) under Lactiplantibacillus plantarum. Its description in RNAcentral is "bacterial SSU rRNA". It matches the Rfam family "Bacterial small subunit ribosomal RNA", at positions 55 to 913 of the family's 1533-position model. The record is from RNAcentral. Lineage: Bacteria; Bacillati; Bacillota; Bacilli; Lactobacillales; Lactobacillaceae.
AUGCAAGUCGAACGAACUCUGGUAUUGAUUGGUGCUUGCAUCAUGAUUUACAUUUGAGUGAGUGGCGAACUGGUGAGUAACACGUGGGAAACCUGCCCAGAAGCGGGGGAUAACACCUGGAAACAGAUGCUAAUACCGCAUAACAACUUGGACCGCAUGGUCCGAGCUUGAAAGAUGGCUUCGGCUAUCACUUUUGGAUGGUCCCGCGGCGUAUUAGCUAGAUGGUGGGGUAACGGCUCACCAUGGCAAUGAUACGUAGCCGACCUGAGAGGGUAAUCGGCCACAUUGGGACUGAGACACGGCCCAAACUCCUACGGGAGGCAGCAGUAGGGAAUCUUCCACAAUGGACGAAAGUCUGAUGGAGCAACGCCGCGUGAGUGAAGAAGGGUUUCGGCUCGUAAAACUCUGUUGUUAAAGAAGAACAUAUCUGAGAGUAACUGUUCAGGUAUUGACGGUAUUUAACCAGAAAGCCACGGCUAACUACGUGCCAGCAGCCGCGGUAAUACGUAGGUGGCAAGCGUUGUCCGGAUUUAUUGGGCGUAAAGCGAGCGCAGGCGGUUUUUUAAGUCUGAUGUGAAAGCCUUCGGCUCAACCGAAGAAGUGCAUCGGAAACUGGGAAACUUGAGUGCAGAAGAGGACAGUGGAACUCCAUGUGUAGCGGUGAAAUGCGUAGAUAUAUGGAAGAACACCAGUGGCGAAGGCGGCUGUCUGGUCUGUAACUGACGCUGAGGCUCGAAAGUAUGGGUAGCAAACAGGAUUAGAUACCCUGGUAGUCCAUACCGUAAACGAUGAAUGCUAAGUGUUGGAGGGUUUCCGCCCUUCAGUGCUGCAGCUAACGCAUUAAGCAUUCGCCUGGGGAGUACGGCCGCAGGCUGAACUCAAAGGAAUUGA